This 514-nucleotide long non-coding RNA is filed under the name Fukomys damarensis (Damara mole-rat). RNAcentral's name for it is "lncRNA (ENSFDAG00000032334.1)". The record is from RNAcentral. Lineage: Eukaryota; Metazoa; Chordata; Mammalia; Rodentia; Bathyergidae.
UACACAGAAGCCAACAAAAAUGUAUACAUACUUCAUGAGAAGAAAAAUAGCGUGAUUUUGUUUCAAAAGAUGGCAUCACCCUGGUAUGCGGGACGCUAGAGGUUGUCGUGCAUGACAGAACAGCCACUACUCUGCUGGAGAAAUUGACAACGUACGCGCAUGAUCGUCAUGAUGAAGGCCAGCAGCUCGCAGCACUAAGGAAUGUCUGGACGCUCACGGCCACCACCCUGAGCACCUCUGGUCAUUGUAGAGGGAAUGAGACAUCCAACUGCCAGCUGCAAUUCUCAUGCGAUUCUCACGCAGUGUUUUCAUACCAAAUUUAUGGCGACAUCAUGAGAUUAACAGAAGGGAACAAAUGUCUCAUCCUGGUGUUGUUCCCAUCUGAUUGGUCAAAGCAAGGUCUGUGGCUGCAAAUCCUCCUCUCCCAGCGACCACAGAAGGGGGCCAGAAAUAGUCGACUGCUAUUUCUGUGGAUACGGGCUGAUAUAGUCAGGUGAAUUUAUUUGGUACAGGC